UCCGGCGUAGCUCAGUGGCAGAGCGAUCGCGUCGCGGGUUCGAUUCCCGUCGCCGGAG
RNAcentral lists this transfer RNA (58 nucleotides) under Curtobacterium citreum. RNAcentral describes it as "tRNA-OTHER". It matches the Rfam family "tRNA". Rfam says of the family: Transfer RNA (tRNA) molecules are approximately 80 nucleotides in length. Their secondary structure includes four short double-helical elements and three loops (D, anti-codon, and T loops). Further hydrogen bonds mediate the characteristic L-shaped molecular structure. tRNAs have two regions of fundamental functional importance: the anti-codon, which is responsible for specific mRNA codon recognition, and the 3' end, to which the tRNAs corresponding amino acid is attached (by aminoacyl-tRNA synthetases). tRNAs cope with the degeneracy of the genetic code in two manners: having more than one tRNA (with a specific anti-codon) for a particular amino acid; and 'wobble' base-pairing, i.e. permitting non-standard base-pairing at the 3rd anti-codon position. Lineage: Bacteria; Bacillati; Actinomycetota; Actinomycetes; Micrococcales; Microbacteriaceae. The record is from RNAcentral.